This 497-nucleotide ribosomal RNA is filed under the name uncultured bacterium. RNAcentral describes it as "partial 16S ribosomal RNA". It matches the Rfam family "Bacterial small subunit ribosomal RNA", at positions 28 to 507 of the family's 1533-position model. The record is from RNAcentral.
GAUGAACGCUGGCGGCGUGCCUAAUACAUGCAAGUCGAGCGAACAGACGAGGAGCUUGCUCCUCUGACGUUAGCGGCGGACGGGUGAGUAACACGUGGAUAACCUACCUAUAAGCCUGGGAUAACUUCGGGAAACCGGAGCUAAUACCGGAUAAUAUAUUUAACCGCAUGGUUCAAUAGUGAAAGACGGUUUUGCUGUCACUUCUAGAUGGAUCCGCGCCGCAUUAGCUAGUUGGUAAGGUAACGGCUUACAAAGGCAACGAUGCGUAGCCGACCUGAGAGGGUGAUCGGCCACACUGGAACUGAGACACGGUCCAGACUCCUACGGGAGGCAGCAGUAGGGAAUCUUCCGCAAUGGGCGAAAGCCUGACGGAGCAACGCCGCGUGAGUGAUGAAGGUCUUCGGAUCGUAAAACUCUGUUAUUAGGGAAGAACAAAUGUGUAAGUAACUAUGCACGUCUUGACGGUACCUAAUCAGAAAGCCACGGCUAACUACGUG